RNAcentral lists this ribosomal RNA (497 nucleotides) under uncultured bacterium. RNAcentral's name for it is "bacterial SSU rRNA". It matches the Rfam family "Bacterial small subunit ribosomal RNA", at positions 29 to 507 of the family's 1533-position model. The record is from RNAcentral.
AUUGAACGCUGGCGGCAUGCCUAACACAUGCAAGUCGAACGGCAGCACGGCAGUAGCAAUACUGUGGGUGGCGAGUGGCGGACGGGUGGAGGAAUACGUCGGAAUCUCGCCCAGUCGGUGGGGGAUAACUACGACCGAAAGGUUAGCUAAUACCGCAUACGACCGAGAGGUAGAAAGGCGGGGGACCGCAAGGCCUCGCGCGAUUGGAUGAGCCGACGUCGGAUUAGCUAGUUGGAGGGGUAAAGGCCCACCAAGGCGACGAUCCGUAGCUGGUCUGAGAGGAUGAUCAGCCACACUGGAACUGAGACACGGUCCAGACUCCUACGGGAGGCAGCAGUGGGGAAUAUUGGACAAUGGGCGCAAGCCUGAUCCAGCAAUGCCGCGUGUGUGAAGAAGGCCUUCGGGUUGUAAAGCACUUUUAUCAGGAACGAAAAGCGUUGGAUUAAUACUCUGACGUGCUGACGGUACCUGAGGAAUAAGCACCGGCUAACUUCGUG